Long non-coding RNA from Helianthus annuus (common sunflower), 764 nucleotides. RefSeq lists it as uncharacterized. NCBI's taxonomy places the organism in Eukaryota, Viridiplantae, Streptophyta, Magnoliopsida, Asterales, Asteraceae. The transcript has 2 exons. The record is from RefSeq and is a predicted model, not a curated record.
CCCCUCUCUCUCUCUCUCUCUCUCAAAAUCUGGAAACCCUUUUCUUCUUCUUCAUCUCCACCACAAACUCCCACCCACACCACCUGCCACCAUACCACCUAUGUCUGUGACCGCCGCCGCCAGAAUAACCAACAAAUCUGGCACCAUCUUUACCGCCGCUUAUGACGCCGCUGCCGGAAACCCUAGAUAUGGGUCGGGAACUUCGUUUGGUGCCAUUUGGUGUAAAGAGUAAUGUUUCUCUUCUAAAGGAUAGUUUUGAUUCAGAUCCAACACAAGAGAUUCAGAUCUAGCACUAAUUUUGGAACCUCAUUUUCAUAUUUGUGUAAACAACUUAUUUUUACUUGGAUUUCAGGUUGCCUAUGUCAUUUUCUGCAUUACUUCUUUAUGCAGGCAUCUCAAUUAAAGAGGCAGUAUGAUGACUGGUUGAAGAUGAUAGUGGUUGUAAUGGGGGUUAAAAAGUAAACAUGGUGGUUGAAGAUCUGAAAAGGAUGGAAGCAGUGGUAGUGGGGAUCUGCAGAGAGAGGGGGGGUGAGUGAGUGUUGGUCGGAGUGAUGGUUGAUAGGCGUUUAGGUGGUAUAGAGAUGAAGUUACAGGUGUUUUAGAGAGAGAGAGAGAGAGAGAGAGAGAUAUGAGAGUCUGUGUGAGUAUUUGGUUUAUAAAUAUAUUUUAUUGUUUUUUUUCUUUUUUUAAAUGUAUUUUUCUAAGUAAAAAGGUAAAAUUACAAAAUUACCUUCAUGUGAAUAGACUUAACUUAAAAUUUUUAA